RNAcentral lists this ribosomal RNA (502 nucleotides) under Rhodotorula kratochvilovae. RNAcentral's name for it is "eukaryotic LSU rRNA". It matches the Rfam family "Eukaryotic large subunit ribosomal RNA", at positions 125 to 639 of the family's 3401-position model. The record is from RNAcentral. Lineage: Eukaryota; Fungi; Basidiomycota; Microbotryomycetes; Sporidiobolales; Sporidiobolaceae.
GCACCUUCGGUGUCCGAGUUGUAAUCUCUAGAAGUGUUUUCCGCGUUGGACCGCACACAAGUCUGUUGGAAUACAGCGGCACAGUGGUGAUACCCCCGUACACGGUGCGGACGCCCAGCGCUUUGUGAUACACUUUCAAUGAGUCGAGUUGUUUGGGAAUGCAGCUCAAAUUGGGUGGUAAAUUCCAUCUAAAGCUAAAUAUUGGCGAGAGACCGAUAGCGAACAAGUACCGUGAGGGAAAGAUGAAAAGCACUUUGGAAAGAGAGUUAACAGUACGUGAAAUUGUUGGAAGGGAAACGCUUGAAGUCAGACUUGCUUGCCGGAGCUUGCUUCGGUUUGCAGGCCAGCAUCAGUUUUCCGGGGUGGAUAAUGGUGGUUUGAAGGUAGCAGCCUCGGCUGUGUUAUAGCUUUCCACUGGAUACAUCCUGGGGGACUGAGGAAACGCAGCGUGCUUUUUGCGAAGGUUUCGACCUUUUCACGCUUAGGAUGCUGGUUAGUGACU